AUGUAAGAAGUUGCACUUCCCCAAUGCUACCUUACAGAGAAAGCCACAGGUAGAAGUUCCAACCAGCGGUCCUGGCUGAGCCCUCUCUUCCAGUUUUCUCCACCAAGGUGCUAGCUGCCAACAGGUCAUCCAUCCCCCUACCUCCUCAAAAAUGAAGGUGUCUUCCCACUGAAUGAAGACAGAGCUUAACACAACAUCUGUGAUCUAUGCCUUUGGACGGAAGGAGAUCUGGACUAAGGAUCAAACAGAUGAAGUCACCCAUGGAGCUACAACUUCCAAGAUGGAGUUCAAGAUACAAACAAAAUGUCACUGAAUACCGGGAAGACACGUACAGUAUCAGAUCAUCAUAUACUGUUUUUACCUUAAGAGCAGAGGUUGGAUGUAUAACCAGCGCUCUUCAUUCUUGGGAACAAUCUCAGCCUCCUAUGGACUCUGCAGCCCCGUGAGCUUAUCUAAGGUUCUAGACCUGCACCGAGGCACAGCUGGACAAUCUCAGUCCUCAUCCACGGGGUCAAGGACUGUCCACUAAGCUUCCUGUAUGAUCAAGCACAGAAGAGUCAGGAAGUCCCAAAGGAGAGGAGGAAGCAAAGGAAUGACCAGAGUGUGCCCAGUUCCUUCCUCCAAAACGCAGCAUCACAGAAGUCAUUAUUCCUUUCAUGGGGAGAAGAGAGUAAAAGGCAACUGCCAUUGAACUGAGAGCAUCCCUGCCUCCUGAUCCUGAUCAGCUUCAAGAGGGAACAUCAUGAAGAAGCAAAGAACAAAGGAGGGUCUUUUCCUUCUCUCCCCACUACCCCCAGCCAGCCAGAGCACCCAAACCAACACCAGUGACCACAGGGACGAAACACGUGGCAACUUCACCCCCACCCCAUCAUCAUUUAAGAGCACAGUAGGGAAGAGCCAAUGUCUUCAUUUUCAUCACUUACAUGCUAUUUAAAUUCCACUUUCACUGUCUAUACCAAGCCAAGGAUUCACUUCCUUGCUGACAAUAAUCACAGAAUCCAUUCUUCUGGCAUUUUGAUUAAGCUAAGAGUCAUCUACCAUUUAGAAAAAGUACGAUAAGUUAGAAUUGUGUUUCUAAAGUCUAUUUAUAACAAGCUAUUUCAUCACCAACUUCUCCAGCUUUAGGCAAUCAAUUUCCUUCUCAGCAAACUCAAUUACUCAUUAUCAUCUUCAAAAACAGAUUUGUAUUGAGUAGACACAGAACUUGAGUUGAAAAGACUCCCAAUACUAGAUCAAUAAAGAAAUCACAUUCUUCUCCCAGCCCCACCAGGCAGUGCAUUCUCAAAUCCCAGGGAGCUCCAUCUUACAUAAUUUAGUAGUAUUCUAUAAUAAUAAAAGAAGUCAGAGGAGGGAGGGAGGGAGAAAAACCACUACCAUAUCACUCCCUAAAAGGCUGCGUCCUGACAUCUACACACUUGGAAAAGAUUACAAGCCCAAAAAACGUCCGUGAGGUUUCAAGAUGGCUGCCACGGCUUCCAGAGGGAAACGGCAGAGCAAACAAAGGCAGAAAAGGAUUUUCUUAAUGGGUCUGACGUUAUCAAGGAGGACAUUUUCUGCAGCUGUAGUCCAACACCCUUUGGAUUUCAUUGGUCAGGAGUGGGUCGUGAUGAGUACUGGCUCAAAGGGACCUGGGAAAUCCAACAUGGCAUUUUCAACCUUUGGUGUAGCAGACAGGCAAAGAGGAAGGGGACUGGGAACAGCUGCUGUGUGGGCCACAAACAUCUAACGCAGAGUAUAAACUUUUAGGGAUCAGCUAUUGCAUAUUUUUAUUUGCUCUCUGUGUUUUAUAAUAAAACAAAAAAUACAUGAAAA
Suricata suricatta (meerkat) is the source of this 1812-nucleotide long non-coding RNA. RefSeq lists it as uncharacterized. The record is from RefSeq and is a predicted model, not a curated record. The transcript has 7 exons. Lineage: Eukaryota; Metazoa; Chordata; Mammalia; Carnivora; Herpestidae.